CCACGGGGCCCCCGAUCCUCCUUGCCAGUGCCCAGCUUCCCAGUGAGGGUAGUCGGGCUUUAACCAAAACGCACCGACUGCACUCGCUACACUUGAACAAGACUGAGCUUUUAUUCCCUCCGGUGUUUCUGAGUCACUCACUCAGUCUGGCAAAGAACACAAGCACGAACUUGCAUUAAGGGGAUGCGUAAUAAAGCUUUUAACUCGGUUCGAAUCCGACAAUAUAUGUAAUUAUAAUGAAAUGAUAAUUGUCAGUAUGGAACAUCUGUAGCCCAGAUGUGACUCGGAUACCCGCAGCUGUUUUUCAGUACGAUUGCUUUUGAAUCUUAUGGCAUGAAUCAAGAUGGAUUACAUCCACAUGAGCAUGUAAUACUGAAGUUCCGUUUCAGCAUGUCUGAGUGUUUUAGAAAUAGACAUUGUCUGCGGGAAUGGUCUGCCAAAAGAACUUCAAAAGGCUUUAUUUCCAAGAUAAUAUUAAAUGAGUUUGAUUUUAAAGUUACCCGUUCACCUGUUUUUCUCCUACUCAGGGUCGGCCAUUUUGCCACUCGCUGUCAACUUAAAGUGACAUCACAAUCUCAGGUCACAACCAAUCACAGCCCAGCUUCAGAAAACUGGUGAGCUGUGAUUGGUUGUGAUGUCAAACCUGGAAACUGUGAUGUCAUUUUCCAUCGACUGCAAGUGACAAAAUGGCCGCCCUCGGAGAUGGAUUUAAACAGGUGGAUUAUUCCUGUUUAAUUCAUAUUCCGCAAUUAAUCAAAACACUGUUUUUAGAAAAAUGAGGAUUAACUUCCUCUUUAAUUAUAUUGAAUAUAUCUUCUUAUAUACAUCCACAGAAAAGUAGACAAAUACUCAAAAUAUUUCAUCUUUAACGAUAAAAAUACCAACUUUCGUUUUUUUCCAAGCAAUCUUCAAACAAUUAGCGCGACUUGAAUGCUUCCACUUCAUAACUGCUAGCACUUGAGGAUCACAGCUGUUCACUGAGCGAGGAAAGUGGAGACUUGAGACCCUGAUGAUAUGCUGUAUUCAAGACCUGAGAGUUUCCAUGAAAGCUGCUGGAAAUACCCAACGCAUUCAUCGCUCCAAAUGGUGAAAGAGUCCAUUUAAAAAAUAGCCACUCCCCUUCAGCAUCUUUCCCUUCCCUCCAAUGCGUCACAUUGGAUAGAAGAAGGAGGAUCAAGUGUCCACGGUUCCUCCCAUCACCUGUGAAAUUUCUGAGUCAGUUCACGGUGAAAGGGGGCAUUGUGUCCCCCUGAUGAGGAAUGCCCUUGCGUCGCUCCUCAAAGAAAUGGCUUCAUUUGGCCAGGAAUUUGGAGGCAUCUUGAGAAGUGUUGGAGUUUUUCUGAGGGCUGGUGAUAGAAAGAAGAAGACUUCAGGCAGCACAGAUUGGCCUGCUAUUCUCAAUAAGUGAUACUAAAUCAAUUGUUACCCAAAAGAUGACUGUAGACCAUGUACUCCGGAAUAGCAAUAAUAAAUCAAAUUGAUGUGCAA
Molecule: long non-coding RNA, 1488 nt
Organism: Syngnathus typhle (broad-nosed pipefish)
Lineage: Eukaryota; Metazoa; Chordata; Actinopteri; Syngnathiformes; Syngnathidae
Exons: 4
Source: RefSeq, a predicted model, not a curated record